ACUAAGCGCACAUGGUGGAUGCCUAGGCAGUAAGAGGCGAUGAAGGACGUAGUAGUCUGCGAUAAGCCCCGGUUAGCUGACAAACAAGCUUACCCGGGGAUUUCCGAAUGGGGAAACCCACUCAGCUUGCUGAGUAUCCUGCACUGAAUACAUAGGUGCAGGAGGCGAACGCGGUGAACUGAAACAUCUAAGUAGCCGCAGGAACAGAAAUCAACCGAGAUUCCCUAAGUAGCGGCGAGCGAACGGGGACCAGCCCAGUUGCCAUCAAUCAAACAACUCUAGUAGAACGAUCUGGAAAGUUCGGCCAUAGACGGUGAUAGCCCCGUAUAUAAAAGAUGAGUUUGAGGAGCAACAAAGAGUAGGUCGGGGCACGAGAAACCUUGACUGAACAUGGGGGGACCAUCCUCCAAGGCUAAAUACUCCUUACUGACCGAUAGUGAACWAGUACCGUGAGGGAAAGGCGAAAAGAACCCCGGAGAGGGGAGUGAAAUAGAACCUGAAACCGUGUGCGUACAAGCAGUGGGAGCCCUUCGGGGUGACUGCGUACCUUUUGUAUAAUGGGUCAGCGAGUUGUUUUCAGUUGCAAGCUUAACCAAUUAGGGGAGGCGUAGGGAAACCGAGUCUGAAUAGGGCGAUUUAGUAGCUGGGAGCAGACCCGAAACCGGACGAUCUAUCCAUGGCCAGGGUGAAGGCAGGGUAAUACCUGCUGGAGGCCCGAACCGGGUAAUGUUGAAAAAUUAUCGGAUGAGCUGUGGCUAGGAGUGAAAGGCUAAUCAAGUCCGGAGAUAGCUGGUUCUCCUCGAAAGCUAUUUAGGUAGCGCCUCAUGUUUAACUCUGGGGGGUAGAGCACUGUUUCGGCUAGGGGGCCAUCCCGGCUUACCAAACCGAUGCAAACUCCGAAUACCCAGAAGUUCAAUCAYGGGAGACACACGGCGGGUGCUAACGUCCGUCGUGGAAAGGGAAACAACCCAGACCGCCAGCUAAGGUCCCAAAGUUAYAGCUAAGUGGGAAACGAAGUGGGAAGGYAYAGACAGCCAGGAGGUUGGCUUAGAAGCAGCMACCCUUUAAAGAAAGCGUAAUAGCUCACUGGUCUARUCGGCCYGCGCGGAAGAUUUAACGGGGCUYAAGCUWURYACCGAAGCUGCGGAUGCWUAKNNAUUUAUSKAUNGNCAUGGUAGAGGAGCGUUCUGUAAGCCUGUGAAGGUGUGUYGYGAGGCAYGCUGGAGGUAUCAGAAGUGCGAAUGCUGACAUGAGUAACGAUAAUGCGGGUGAAAAACCCGCACGCCGAAAACCCAAGGRUUCCUGCGCAACGUUAAUCGGCGCAGGGUGAGUCGGCCCCUAAGGCGAGACCGAAAGGUGUAGUCGAUGGGAAACUGGUUAAWAUUCCAGUACUUUGURUUACUGCGAUGAGGGGACGGAGAAGGCUARAUCUACCGGGCGUUGGUUGUCCCGGGGAAAGUAUGUAGGCAGAGAGCUUAGGCAAAUCCGGGCUCUUGUUAAUGCCGAGAUACGAUGACGACCGGUCUUUGUACCGGAAAGUGGUUGGUGCCAUGCUUCCAGGAAAAGCCUCUAAGCUUCAGGUAACACAGAACCGUACCGCAAACCAACACAGGUGGGUAGGGAGAGAAUCCUAAGGCGCUUGAGAAAACUCUGGUGAAGGAACUAGGCAAAUUGGUACCGUAACUUCGGGAGAAGGUACGCCUCUGCUGGUGAUGAGACUUGCUCUCUGAGCUGGUGGGGGUCGAAGUGACCAGGUGGCUGCGACUGUUUACUAAAAACACAGCACUCUGCAAACACGAAAGUGGACGUAUAGGGUGUGACGCCUGCCCGGUGCCGGAAGGUUAAUUGAUGGGGUUAGCUUCGGCGAAGCCCUUGAUCGAAGCCCCGGUAAACGGCGGCCGUAACUAUAGAUUGUUGUAGUUACGCAAAUAAAUUUGGCUAUAUGCUGGAAACUCCGGUGUAUCCGCUGGUACUCGCUCGAUAGACUGAGCAGUGACAAUCCAUGCGGUGCGGACAAUCAGCAGGAAAGGCUUCUGGUAUGACUUCAUUAAACGUUAAAGAAAUUCCUGACAAAAUUGGCUAUUACCUCGCAGGUUUUGCCGAUGGUGAAGGGAGUUUCAAUUUGUCUUUUCGAAAACGCAAAGACUAUUCCAUGCCAUGGAAAGUAUCGUUGUGUUUCAACGUAUCGCAAAAGGACAAAGUCAUUCUGGCUUUGUACAAGCGACACCUGAAAUGUGGCACUUUGCGAGGAAGAGAUGACGGCGUUUGGUAUUAUGAAGUCAAUAAUUUCACCGCGAUUCAGGAAAACGUCAUUCCGUUCUUUAGAAAGUUUGGCUUUCUUUCCGCUAAGAAGAAACGUGAUUUUGCGAAAUUCAUGCAAAUCGCGAAUCUGAUAGCAGAUGGGGAGCAUCUGAAGAAAAGUGGAAUAAGACGAAUUCUUGAUAUCAGAAAGACAAUGAACGACGGCGGAGUCGGUCGUAGAAAAUACGGCGACGCUGAAAUUCUGCGUUUGGUGAAAACAGAAGAAUCCUCAGAGACUAUACGCCAAACUUGAUUUAGACAUUAACCGGAUGUCGUCUGUUUAAAUCAGGAUGAGAUAGUCCGAUCUGCAUAGCGAUAUGCAGGGUUCAAGGUUCGCUAUGACUUGAACCUAACCGAUGUAAUUUGUUGGGGAUAACACAGGAUGAACGGUCCUAAGGUAGCGAAAUUCCUUGUCGGGUAAGUUCCGACCUGCACGAAUGGCGUAACGAUGGCCACACUGUCUCCACCAGAGACUCAGUGAAAUUGAAAUCGCUGUUAAGAUGCAGCGUACCCGCGGCAAGACGGAAAGACCCCGUGCACCU
RNAcentral lists this ribosomal RNA (2843 nucleotides) under marine sediment metagenome. RNAcentral's name for it is "bacterial LSU rRNA". The record is from RNAcentral.